Suricata suricatta (meerkat) is the source of this 102-nucleotide small nuclear RNA. NCBI's taxonomy places the organism in Eukaryota, Metazoa, Chordata, Mammalia, Carnivora, Herpestidae. The record is from Ensembl.
UUGCUCUGGCUGCAUGUAUACUAAAGUUGGAAUGCUACAGAGGGCACUAGCAUGGCCCCUGCACAAGGAUGACAGCAAAUUCGUGAAGCUUCCAUACUUCGU